This 425-nucleotide ribosomal RNA is filed under the name uncultured bacterium. RNAcentral's name for it is "partial 16S ribosomal RNA". It matches the Rfam family "Bacterial small subunit ribosomal RNA", at positions 354 to 796 of the family's 1533-position model. The record is from RNAcentral.
GUGGGGAAUCUUAGACAAUGGGGGAAACCCUGAUCUAGCCAUGCCGCGUGAGCGAUGAAGGCCUUAGGGUUGUAAAGCUCUUUCAGCUGGGAAGAUAAUGACGGUACCAGCAGAAGAAGCCCCGGCUAACUCCGUGCCAGCAGCCGCGGUAAUACGGAGGGGGCUAGCGUUGUUCGGAAUUACUGGGUGUAAAGCGCGCGUAGGCGGACCAGAAAGUUGGAGGUGACAUCCCAGGGCUCAACCUUGGAACUGCCUUCAAAACUCCUGGUCUGGAGUUCGAGAGAGGUGAGUGGAAUUCCGAGUGUAGAGGUGAAAUUCGUAGAUAUUCGGAGGAACACCAGUGGCGAAGGCGGCUCACUGGCUCGAUACUGACGCUGAGGUGCGAAAGCGUGGGGAGCAAACAGGAUUAGAUACCCGAGUAGUCC